AGAACUUAGCAGAGAUGCUUUGGUGCCUUCGGGAACUCUGAGACAGGUGCUGCAUGGCUGUCGUCAGCUCGUGUUGUGAAAUGUUGGGUUAAGUCCCGCAACGAGCGCAACUCUUAUCCUUUGUUGCCAGCGGCUCGGCCGGGAACUCAAAGGAGACUGCCGGUGAUAAACCGGAGGAAGGUGGGGAUGACGUCAAGUCAUCAUGGCCCUUACGGCCAGGGCUACACACGUGCUACAAUGGCGCAUACAAAGAGAAGCGACCUCGCGAGAGCAAGCGGACCUCAUAAAGUGCGUCGUAGUCCGGAUUGGAGUCUGCAACUCGACUCCAUGAAGUCGGAAUCGCUAGUAAUCGUAGAUCAGAAUGCUACGGUGAAUACGUUCCCGGGCCUUGUACACACCGCCCGUCACACCAUGGGAGUGGGUUGCAAAAGAAGUAGGUAGCUUAACCUUCGGGAGGGCGCUUACCACUUUGUGAUUCAUGACUGGGGUGAAGUCGUAACAAGGUAGGCGUAGCGAG
RNAcentral lists this ribosomal RNA (517 nucleotides) under uncultured bacterium. Its description in RNAcentral is "bacterial SSU rRNA". It matches the Rfam family "Bacterial small subunit ribosomal RNA", at positions 992 to 1509 of the family's 1533-position model. The record is from RNAcentral.